This 498-nucleotide ribosomal RNA is filed under the name uncultured bacterium. RNAcentral describes it as "partial 16S ribosomal RNA". It matches the Rfam family "Bacterial small subunit ribosomal RNA", at positions 30 to 523 of the family's 1533-position model. The record is from RNAcentral.
AUUGAACGCUGGCGGCAUGCCUUACACAUGCAAGUCGAACGGUAACAGGUCUUCGGAUGCUGACGAGUGGCGAACGGGUGAGUAAUACAUCGGAACGUGCCUAGUAGUGGGGGAUAACUACUCGAAAGAGUGGCUAAUACCGCAUGAGAUCUACGGAUGAAAGCAGGGGAUCGCAAGACCUUGUGCUACUAGAGCAGCCGAUGGCAGAUUAGGUAGUUGGUGGGAUAAAAGCUUACCAAGCCGACGAUCUGUAGCUGGUCUGAGAGGACGAUCAGCCACACUGGGACUGAGACACGGCCCAGACUCCUACGGGAGGCAGCAGUGGGGAAUUUUGGACAAUGGGCGAAAGCCUGAUCCAGCAAUGCCGCGUGCAGGAUGAAGGCCUUCGGGUUGUAAACUGCUUUUGUACGGAACGAAAAGCCCCGGGUUAAUACCCUGGGGUCAUGACGGUGCCGUAAGAAUAAGCACCGGCUAACUACGUGCCAGCCGCCGCGGUAA